GCGCGUAUAGCUCAGUGGUUAGAGCGUCCGUUUCACAUGCGGAAGGUCGUUGGUCCAAAUCCAACUACGCGCA
This 73-nucleotide transfer RNA is filed under the name Parcubacteria group bacterium CG08_land_8_20_14_0_20_38_56. Its description in RNAcentral is "tRNA-Val". It matches the Rfam family "tRNA". Rfam says of the family: Transfer RNA (tRNA) molecules are approximately 80 nucleotides in length. Their secondary structure includes four short double-helical elements and three loops (D, anti-codon, and T loops). RNAcentral also lists the same sequence under 1 other name. The record is from RNAcentral.